Molecule: long non-coding RNA, 5203 nt
Filed under: Sus scrofa (pig)
Lineage: Eukaryota; Metazoa; Chordata; Mammalia; Artiodactyla; Suidae
Description: lncRNA (ENSSSCG00005015735.1)
Source: RNAcentral
GGGGUUGUGGCUCCUCAGAUGUUAAUGCACUUCUUCCCUCUUUCGGUCCUUCGUGUUCUCACCCAGUGGCCACUUGCUCUUAUUUUCAGUAUGAUUUAAAGCUAAUUCCAAGUCAGAAGCUCCUACACGUCCAUGAGGGAUUUAUACAGCUUGAGAACAGGGAGAAGAAAGUGCAGCGAUUACACAAGGUGCAGGCUGCCCGACAGCCCAGGGAUAGAAUUUCUCCUUGAUCUUGAACGUCUGACUUUUAGGAGCUCUGGUAACAGGCUCUAGAGCAAAGAAGUCAGGGGAUAAAGGACAUGAGACGUAGACACAAGCCUUGCAGGCCGGUCAGCUCUGUGACAGCGAGCAACCACCGGGGUCGGAGGCCGAGGAGGCUGGCUGUCCAGCGUUGCCCGUGGAGAGGUUCACCUGCACGCUGCCCCACAGCCUGAAUGAGGGCCGGCAGGGGCGCAGAGCAGGUGGUUUAUGAGUAUUUACCCCAAGGCACUGAGUAAUCCUCCUCAAGCUUACUUCUCAACCCAUGUCACCUGGAAGGUGACAUUUCUUGGUGAUUGCUUGAUCUUUAAUAAAGGUGGGGGGGGAUGACUUUCCCUUCCACUGUGUCAGAAAUGAAAUUCUGGAAUUCCUGAGCUUCCUGGAGGUUCUUGCUGCAGAAGAACCUGUGUUCUUCUGGGUUUUCCCCGUCUAAACACUCAGCCGGGCGAAGGAAGUGGCUCCCUAGGGAGGAGGCGGGUGGCCAGGGAGUAACCUUGGCUGAUGACUCAUGUGCUGGGCGGAAAUUCCCUGUGCCCUGCAAGUGAGCUGUCCCAGGCGAGUCUAGAGAGUGAGUGCCUUUUCAGAAGCCUCUCAUGUGUAAUUCUGGAAGAGUCAUUUCCUUACUAGAAGUAUCUGGGUGAUAAUAACACACAUAUAGCCUUAAAAAGAUCAGUUGUAUUUUAAGAUUAAAAGUAUUAAGCAAGAGCUGGAAAGUCUUAAAAAACUGAGAGCCAGUUUCCCAUUGUUGAGAAUGUUCAUUAAAUGUAAGGCUCUUGUUGCAAAAGGCACAGGAAAUAGCCGGGGCACAGUGGGUUAAGAAUCUGACUGCGACGGCUCGGGUUGCUGUGGAAGUGCAGGCAGAUCCCUGGCCUGAGGCAGUGGGUGAAGGGAUCUGGCCUUACUGCAGCUGCAGCUCAGGUUUGGUUCCUGGUCCUGGAACUUCCAUAGGCCACUGGUGCAGCAUUAAAGAAAUAAACGAGCAGAUAGAAAGAAAUAGCUUGGGAUCGUGAGGCUGCGAGUCAUGUUGCAGACGUGUUAACUCGAUGGAGAGAGGUCCCUAAAAGCGUGCUGAGGUAGCGCCACCAGGUUUGCGUUUUAGGGCCCGGGGACUGUAUUUCCCCACCUCACUGUCAGGUUUGCUGUCCACGGCAGGGUUGACAGCAUCAGGGACAAAAGUGAACUAUUUUUCCUACCAGGUGAAGCUGAGUCACACAGCUCUGUCAUUGCAAAGCUAUUCUCUGCUCCCGCCUUCUUUGUAACUCUGCAGAGGUCCUGGAAGUUCUUGCCAUGGAUUAAGAGGAAGAUGAAAAGAUGAAGUGUUCCAGAAACCCCAGCUCCUUUUCCCGGGGUGACUGCCCUGCGGGGCGCCGUCUGAGGCAGGUGCUGUGGUGCCCAGCCCGGGACUGCUGUCUUUCCUGAGCUCGCAUGCGCCUUCACUGGGGGGACUCUUCCACCUUUGGGCGGGUGGCGUUCUUCCCUUCAAGAGACAAAAGGACACUUGUGAGUCACCAUAGUCUAGUCUGACUUUGGAGCCUAACAGCCCAAGUUUAGAGAAUCACAGAACGGGACUAACUGAAGGGUUGGUGUCGUGUUGUGCAUGUGAUAGAAACCAAGUCAUUGCCGUGCUGCUGCUCUUUUCAGACUUUUGCAGCCCCUUUCCAGUGGAGACUGACUUUUGCAGCCUUUUACCAGUGGAGACUGACUUCUGCAGCCCCUUUCCAGCGGAGACUGUUCUGGCGCAGGAGCGUGUGCCGUGGGCCUGGAGGAGGCCGGUGCCUGGUCUGGGGAAGUGUGGGGGGGUCGUCUGCGGGAAGAGGCCCCAGAUUCUGCAGGCAGAUGAGAUCAGAACACAUGUAGCAAACUGUCUGCAGAUCCACAGAGGCGUCUUGUUCAUCUGCAGCUUGGUUUGAGGAGUCACAAAAAAAGGGCGGGUCAAACACUGUGAUUUUGGACAGAUAUUAUCAGGCAGGUAACAUAAAUCUUCGCUCCACUUGGGCCAGGAGCCGAGCAGCUCACCAGGAUGCUGUGGAUCGUUAGAGGAGGGAUUGGUAAACUCUCCUGGGCUGGGUGCCCCCCCCACCCCCGAGGGCACCCCUCCCUGGAGAGCACCCCCUUCAGCAGGGCACCCCCCCCCUAGGCACCCCAGCUGGUGACCUGCCCAGCAAGUUGUCCAGGCUGCCUCUGGGGUCCCUCAUGGCUCCUUUUCUUUGAAAGACCCCAGGAAAGACUGAUGAUUUUUCCUCAGUGUGGAAAAAUGAUACAGCAAGGAAAAAAACACGACUUCACACUCACACAGACCUUCUAAAACCUAUCAGAUAACACAUCCGGGUAGAGUUGAAGGACUGAACUCUGAGCAGGCAGUUCCGGGAGCAGGGGCCGGACCACGUGCAGGCACAGUGAGGGGCGCGCUGGUUCCCAGCCUCGGGCUCUUCCUUAGCCUGGCGAUGUCUGGGCCAGGGGUGCGCAGGCCAGUGCGCUCUGAGGCAGCAGAAUGCACGACGAAGGCCAGAAGUUUACAAACUCAAGCUAGAAAAUGCUGUUGUAUUCGAAAUGCUUUCAAGACCAAUCAGGGACACAGUGGAAGGGGAGGAAUAGAACCACAGGAAAGUUAUUUCAAAGUAUUACACUCAUUAGAGGAAAUCGCCAGCAUGGAAAAUGUACACUGAAGCAAAGAAACACCGGAACGAGCAAGCAGAUAAUGAUAAAAGUGCCAGAAAGCUUAGUUCCUGGUACUUGAUGUUUGAAACUUAAAGUGAAGACCCUUCAUCACCUCUGUAGUCAAAAAAACAGCCUUUUGGUAGUUUUGGUUUGGCCUUAUGUUUUGAAAUAUCAGAACAGUAAUAGUUUUCCAUAGACAAAAUCCUCAAUCAAUAUCGUCAUUCUGUCUCAUAUAUUCUUUUGAAACAAUGUUUUUUUGAAGUAAAGCUGAUUUACAAUAUUGUAUUAGUUUCAGGUGUACAGAAUAGAAAUUCAGUUUUUUUUCCCCAGAUUAUAUUCAAUUGUAGGUUUUUCUAAGAUAACGGGUAUAAUUCCCUGUGCUAUAUAGCAUAUUCUUGUUGCUUAUCUAUUUUAUGUAGAGAAGUUUGUGUCUGUUAAUCCCGUAACCCUAGUUUGUCCCUCUCCCCCUUCCCUUUCGUAAUAACCAUAAGUUUGUUUUCUCUGUCUGUGAGUCUGUUUCUGUUUUAUACAUGCAUUCAUUUGUAUGAUUUUUUCGCUUCCACAUUUAAGUGAUAUAGUAUGUGUCUUUCUCUGACAUAUUUUGCUACACCUAAAAAUCUCCAAGUCCAUCUAUGUUGCUACAAAUUGUAAUAUUUCAUUCUUUUUUAUGGCUGAGUAAUAUUCCAUUGUGUGUAUGUACCACAUCUCCUUAAGCCAGUCCUCUGUUGAUGGACACUUGAGUUAUGUCCAUGUCUUGGCUAUUGUGAAUAGCGCUGCCAUGGACAUUGGAGCACACGUAUCUUUUCAAAUUAGAGCUUUCAUUUUUUCCUGGAUAUAUACCCAGACAUGGGAUUGCUGGAUCAUAUGGUAGGUCUAUUUUUAGUAUUUAAAGGACCCUCCAUACUGUUUUCCACGGUGGCUGUAUCAAUUUACAGUCCUACCAACAGUGUAGGAGGGUUCCCUUUUCUCCACACCCUCUCCAGCAUUUAUUAUUUAUAGACUUUUUAAUGAUGGCCAUUCUGACUGGUGUGAGGUGGUACCUCAUUGUGGUUUUGAUUUUCAUUUCUUUAAUAAUUGCAGUGUUGAGCAAUUUUUCAUGUAGCCAUCUGUCUUCCUUCUUUGGAAAAGUCUAUUUGUGUCCUCUGCCCAUUUUUUGAUUGGGUUUUGGUUUUUUGUUGUUGACUUGUAUGGGUUAUAUAUUUUGGAUAUUACCCUCUUGUUGACCACAUUGUUUGCAAAUAUUUUCUCCCAUUUUGUAGAUUGUCUUUUUGUUUUGUCAGUACUUUCCUUUGCUGUCCAGAGGCUUUUCAGUUUAAUUAGGUCCCAUCUGUUUGUUUUUGCUUUUAUUUAUUUUGCCUUGGGAGACUGAUCUAAGAAAAUAUUACUGUAAUUUAUGUCAAAGAGUGUUUCACCUGUGUUCUUUUCUAAGAGUUUUAUGGUGUCAUGUCUUACAUUUAGGUCUUUGGAUUUAUUUUUGUAUGAAGGAAUGUUCUAAUUUCCCUGCUUUGCAUGUAGCUGUCCAGUUUCCCCAGCACUGUUUAUUGAAGAGACUGUCUUUUCUCCAUUGUAUAUUCUUGCCUCUUUUAUCAUAGAUUAAUUGAUUCUAGGUGUGUGGGUUUAUUUCUGGGCUCUCUAUCCUGUUCCAUUGAUCUAUGUGCCUGUCUUUGUGCCAGUACCGUACUGUUUUGAUUACUGUAGCUUUGUAGUAUAGUCUAAGGUGUGGGUGGGUUAUACUUUCACCUUUGUUCUUUUUUCUAAAGAUUACUUUGGCAGUUUGGGAUCUGUGUGGUGCCAUAUGAGCUUUCGGAUUAUUUAUUCUAUUUCUGUGACAAAUGCCCAGGGAUUUCUGAUAGGGAUUGCACUAAGCCUGUAGAUGACUUUGGGUAGUAUGGCCAUGUGAGCACAGGAUAGCUUUCCAUUUCUUUGCAUUGUGUUUCGUUUCCUUAUCAAUGUUUUAUAGUUUUCAGUGUAUGGAUCUUUCACCUCCUCACUUGAGUUUAUUCCCAGAUAUUUUUUAAAUGUGAUUUUAAAUGCGAUUUUUCUGUGUGUAAUUUCUUUGUUUCAUUGUUAGCGUGUAGAAAUGCAGCAGAUUUCUGUGUACUAACCUUGUACCCUGAUGGGAGUUCCUGGCGUGGCACAGCGGUUAAUGAACCUAACUGGCAUUCAUGAGGAUGUGGGUUCAAUCCCUGGCCUCGCUCAGUGGGUUAAGGAUCCAGUGUUGCUGUGGCUGUGGUGUAGGCUGGCAGCUACAGCUCCAGUUUGACCCCUAGCCUGGGAACCUCCAUAU